UAGGGAAUCUUCGGCAAUGGGGGGAACCCUGACCGAGCAACGCCGCGUGAGUGAAGAAGGUUUUCGGUUCGUAAAGCCCUGUUGUUAAGGAAGAACGAGUGUGAGAAUGGAAAGUUCAUGCUGUGACGGUACUUAACCAGAAAGGGACGGCUAACUACGUGCCAGCAGCCGCGGUAAUACGUAGGUCCCGAGCGUUGUCCGGAUUUAUUGGGCGUAAAGCGAGCGCAGGCGGUUAGAAAAGUCUGAAGUGAAAGGCAGUGGCUCAACCAUUGUAGGGUGUGGAAACUGUUGAACUUGAGGGCAGAAGGGGAGAGUGGAAUUCCAUGUGUAGCGGGGAAAAGCGUAGAUAGAUGGAGGAACACCGGUGGCGAAAGCGGCUCUCUGGUCUGUAACUGACGGUGAGGCUAGAAAGCGUGGGGAGCGAACAGG
RNAcentral lists this ribosomal RNA (429 nucleotides) under Bacteroidota bacterium. Its description in RNAcentral is "Bacteroidetes bacterium partial 16S ribosomal RNA". It matches the Rfam family "Bacterial small subunit ribosomal RNA", at positions 355 to 776 of the family's 1533-position model. Lineage: Bacteria; Pseudomonadati; Bacteroidota. The record is from RNAcentral.